UUUGACAUUAGAAAACAAAGCUCCCAUCUACUUCAGGUGCGAUAGAGAAUGGAAGAAGGCCAGGGUCGUUCUGUGACUUCAUCCUACCUCGGGUGGUCCAUCUGUAACACUUUAUGCUGCUGUCUGCCUCUAGGCAUUGUCGCCAUUGUCUUCUCCUCCAAGGCACAAAAUGCUAAUGCUCGCGGGGAAUCAGCUCAAGCAGAAGAUGCUGCGAGGAUAGCCAGGAACAUAAAUAUCAUUGCACUUGUCUGUGGGAUAAUUCUGAUCAUCACUGCCAUCGUUCUCACGACCACGGGAACAAUUUAAAGCUUCAUCAUUUCUUCAGCCCAUGAGCCUCAACAGACCACCACCAGUCUCUGGACUCCAUAGGGGGAUCUAUCUUAGACAUCCCUCGAUUGCAAAAUGAGAGUAUAAGUGCCGAAGACUUUCUGUCAAGACAUCAAUCAUUUGUUCUUCUGUUAUAAUAAACAAUUAUCUUACUUCCUUCA
Dicentrarchus labrax (European seabass) is the source of this 488-nucleotide long non-coding RNA. RefSeq lists it as uncharacterized. Lineage: Eukaryota; Metazoa; Chordata; Actinopteri; Moronidae. The transcript has 3 exons. The record is from RefSeq and is a predicted model, not a curated record.